RNAcentral lists this signal recognition particle RNA (265 nucleotides) under Bacillota bacterium. Its description in RNAcentral is "signal recognition particle sRNA large type". It matches the Rfam family "Bacterial large signal recognition particle RNA". Rfam says of the family: The signal recognition particle (SRP) is a universally conserved ribonucleoprotein involved in the co-translational targeting of proteins to membranes. Archaeal SRP consists of a 7S RNA and homologues of the eukaryotic SRP19 and SRP54 proteins. The record is from RNAcentral. Lineage: Bacteria; Bacillati; Bacillota.
CCGUGCUAGGUGGGGAGGUAGCGGUGCCCUGAACCUGCAAUCCGCUAUAGCAGGGCCGAAUUCCUGCCGGAGGGUUUGGCUUGUGGGGUCCGGCUCCUGUAAGGGGUGUUGACGGCCGGGUCUCGCGCGACGGAGUCUUCUGAACUGUGUCAGAUCCUGACGGAAGCAGCACUAAGGAAGUCCCUCCGGGUGCCGCGAGGGUGCCUGACCCGAGCUACCUGCUGGAGUAACGCCCGGAAGCCAUCAUUCGAAGGUGGGUGCACGG